GACGAACGCUGGCGGCGUGCUUAACACAUGCAAGUCGAACGGAAAGGCCCAGCUUUUGUGGGGUGCUCGUGUGGCGAACGGGGGAGUAACACGCGAGUAACCUGCCCUUGACUUUGGGAUAACUUCAGGAAACUGGGGCUAAUACCGGAUAGGAGCUCUUGCUCCAUGGUGUGGGUUGGAGAGUUUCGGCGGUUGGGGAUGGUCUCGCGGCUUAUCAGCUUGCUGGUGGGGUAGUGGCUUACGAAGGCUUUGACGGGUAGCCGGCCUGAGAGGGUGACCGGCCACAGUGGGCCUAGGGUACGGCCCAGACGGCAACGUGAGGCAGGAGUGGAGAAUAUUGCACAAUAGGCGGAAGCCUGAUGCAGCGACGCCGGGUGCGGGAUGACGGCCUUCGGGUUGUAAACCGCUUUCGCCUGAGACGAAGCGUGAGUGACGGUAAUGGAUAAGAAAGCACCGGCUAACUACGUG
RNAcentral lists this ribosomal RNA (468 nucleotides) under uncultured bacterium. RNAcentral describes it as "partial 16S ribosomal RNA". It matches the Rfam family "Bacterial small subunit ribosomal RNA", at positions 28 to 507 of the family's 1533-position model. The record is from RNAcentral.